This is a long non-coding RNA of Raphanus sativus (radish), 868 nucleotides long. RefSeq lists it as uncharacterized. The record is from RefSeq and is a predicted model, not a curated record. Lineage: Eukaryota; Viridiplantae; Streptophyta; Magnoliopsida; Brassicales; Brassicaceae. The transcript is spliced from 2 exons.
UCGAUCCGUGGGAUUUGUUAUCAUUGGCUCUCGAGUAUCCAAGGUUUAAUUUUUGGUCUCGCUUAUGUGUUUUCUCAUGUGCUUCUUCGUAUGAAGCGGCAAGUGAUAUGACUCUCUCUUGCCCUUCCCUUAAUCAUCAUAAAUAAUUAAUCAUAGCAGUAAUUACGAUCCCUAUAAUUUAUUCGCAUUAAUAUCUCUCCCUCGAUUAUUCGGUUCGGUUUAUUGCGUCGGUCAUCCGAUUAUGAAAUUUUAAACAAACACCACUCGAUUCAGUUCGGUCUGGGUCGGUUUAACUUUUAAUUUCUAGGGUUUCUGAUUUAGGGGUGAAAGUGGGUGUAUGUAUAGUAUAUAUUAGCUCCUCCUUCAUCGCCGCGUAGCUAAAGCACAUUGAUUGAUUGAUCCUUCAAAUCAUCCCAUGAAUAUUCUUUGCGCUUUUACGUAUCAUCAUCUUUGUCGAUUCGAAUGAGUUUGGGUUUUAGAGGUUGUUUUAUUAAGUUAUAGUUUCCAAUUAGAAAAAAAAAGUAUUUUGAUGAAUUGAUUAGAGUUUUGUUUAGAACUUUGUGAUGGUGCAGAGAGGGAGAGAGCAAAUGAUGGGAUACACUUGAUCUCUGAAUUUUAACAGGAUUUGAAGUUAAAGGAAUCAGGGAAAGAGGGGGAGCAAGUGUUGUUUUUUACUUGUAACGACAGUAGCAUGAUUCAACUCUUACUAUAUUCUUUUCAUUCUUUGAUUUUCGUUUUAACGCCAGUCUGUACAUAUGAGUAUAUCACUUCUGCAUUUCAUUCAUAUUCCAUAUUUAGUUCAAGCUACGAUGUAAUUGAUGUGCUACUCUGAGAAGCUGUUCUUUUGUAUUUCAGAAAUUAGUUCAUU